This is a long non-coding RNA of Magnolia sinica, 3282 nucleotides long. RefSeq lists it as uncharacterized. The record is from RefSeq and is a predicted model, not a curated record. Lineage: Eukaryota; Viridiplantae; Streptophyta; Magnoliopsida; Magnoliales; Magnoliaceae. The transcript is spliced from 3 exons.
CACACACACCCUCCAAAACAAAAACAAAAACAAAAAAAAAAAGAAAAGAGAAAAGAAAAAAUGCUCCAAUAUUUAGAUUCAACCUAUUGGAUCUUCGUUGCUGAAUCGUGGAAACUUGUUUCACUUUCUGCAUAUAAAUUGCACCACUACUAUUGGAAUUCCCCACCUUCCAUAAAAAAAGGUCAAAUUCUUCUUAUUUUCGCUACCUUACAUAAGAUCCUUAUUUAUAAUAUUCACAAAGUAGCAGAACUGCAAUAAAAAAACAGCCCAAUUCUUAUCUAUAUGUAAUAAAUCAUUGAACUUUCUAAAUUAACCCAAAAUUUAAUCUUAGCAGAACUUGUGAUGAUGUUUAUUUAUUUAUCAUUAUUGUUAUUUUAAUAUUGAGUUCGACUAUAGUUGCGUGAAGUGUGAAGCGAAGUGGCAACAAAUUCAGGUGUGGGAGUGGUGAAGUCUUUGUUUCAAAAUGCUAGCAAGUAUAAACUACUAGUAAGCAUGAGGAGCAGGAUUUUAAACAUAUGCAGCACUUGAUUGGAAUGAUCAUGUAACUAAGAACGCAACCAUUACAAAAUAAUAGGGCUUUAUCUAUAUUUUUUGGUGUAGAAGCGUGCAGGUUGACUUAAAUGGGCUCUUAUCGCGAUACAAAGCCAACAAUGACAAUCACACUGCGAAAUGUCCAUGGACUAUUACGUAGCGCUUCUGGGAGUUUCAUGCUCUCAUUGCUAGUCCUAGGCCUGGAUAAAGGAGGUGGUUAUGUCAGUUUGGCAGCUGGUGUGGAACUUUUGCCUCAAGUUUCAUCAUAAAUCUUGACAUGGUGGCACAUUAUUUGUGUAACAGUGACCCAAUCAGUUGGAAUAAGGCUUAGCUGCUGAUGAUGACAGUUAUAUCUAUAACGGAAACAGAAGGCAAUAUACUUGUAGACACCUCAAUAUCUGACUGCAAAUGAGGACUUUUACUCGCAUCAAGAUCUUACUAAUUGAACAUUCAGAUCUUGCAAAUCUGUGGAGCAGGAUUAGGUGGCAGUUAAACAAGUUGCUCGAAAAGGGUCAUGUAAGGCCCAAUACAUCCUCUUGUACCUCGUCUGUGGUCUUGGUGCUGAAGAAGACUCGUGGCACGUGUGUGGAUUAAGAUUCUUGAUUGGGAGAAGAUGGUUGGGCUUUGUAAGCUUGACCUCAUUAUGUCUAGGGGGUUGUUCCGUGCCAGGACCAUCCCUACAUGUAGCGGUUGGGCGCUGCUCGUAUUUUAGGAGACCCCGACCUUUGCCAAAAACCAUUGAGCAGCCCAUUCUCUCUCGACUCCCCAAAGAUCCUUCCACUGCCGAGAAGAGGAAAAUGUGACUCUUUAUAUGUGUGCGUGCGUGCUGGCUGCUUCCCCCGCAUCCUUUUGGGCCUUCCAGUUACCCUUUUAGAGCCUUUAACUUGUGAUAAUUCACUCCUAACUGGCUCCAUUCUGUCUCUAUUGCACAUGACUAAACCGUGUAAGUCUACUUCGCCUCAUCUUAUUACAUAUUGCUGCUACUCCUAAAUUUCCACGAAUGCAUUCAUUUCUAAUUCUAUCCUUGUCUUGCCACUCAUCCAUCUCAACAUCCUCAUUUUAACUACACUCAUCCCAUGAACAUGUUCCUUAACUGGCCAACAUUCUUUCCCGUAAUGCAUGGCUGGUCUUCUAAGUAUAUUUGAAAAGUUAACAGAGGUCAUUAAAAAACUAGAGCAGGGGAAAGGAAUUCCCAAUACAGAGAUAGCGGCAUGAAGUCCCUGUGAUUGCAUGGUCAAGCACCAAUGGAUUGGGCUUUCUGAUCGAGGGGGUAAACAAAAUAUUUAGUGCCUUAGCCAAAGACCUCAUCUCAUUGAAGGUACAGUCCACGUUCCAUGGAUAGGCCAUGGUCCCCUUAACCUAACAGAAAACACAAUUGUCAAACACCUCCACUGAAAUGGGGAGCUUGGAGAACUGAUUGAAAACAAUACACUCUCUAACUGCAAGCACAAUGGAUCUACUCCUCAAUUCAUUUUGUAUUUCGGUGUUGCCGGGUGACAUGGAGGCGAUGUUUUUGUUGUGGCAUGGGGCAAGCCUCAGGAAACAAGGGAGGGCUGUGUGGAGGUCAGUGUUUUAAAUAGCGUGUAGCAUACAGCGUACUGUUCAGCCCUCUAUAGUGCGUAUAGAGUAAGCUACACAAUACUUUUAUUUUUAUUUUUAAAUUAAAAUAAUUUAAAAUUGGAUAAAUAAUAUAAAUAAAAUUAAAAAUAAUAAAGAAAAUUAAAGAAAAAGGCAUAUGAUGUCAACAAGUAACUGACAAGUAACAACUACUAACUGAACAGUCAGUCAGCCCUAAACAAGUAACAGUUAACCAUAACUGAAAGUAUGGUCUAAAAAUCCAACUUUACAAGUUAACCAAUCACAUAAGAGCUCGGUCAGUCAGUCCUAAAACUGAACAGUGACUGUACACAACACAAUCAACACCAAAACAAGCCAUUUCUGACAUUCUGUUCCUCUCACAAUCCCUCUAGAAAAGCUUGCUCUUGGGUGACCCGUUUUGCAUGAGCAGCGCAAGAUUAAACUGUACACAAUUGGAGGAAACAAUGUCCCAAAUAUUGUUGAUAGUUCACCGGAGAUCCUUGCUUUGUAGUGUGUCAAUAAGUCGGGUUCCCAGACCCACCUCAAAGUGGUGGUUUUUCCUCCUAACUUGUUGUAUGGAAGUUCUAGGAAAAACUAAACACACCCAUAAUUGCUAUCAUGCGGAAAUAGCACUGUGAAUAUGACAUGGAGGGCAUGGGGCCUGCCAAAAGCUGGAUUAGGCUUAAUACUGAUUUUCCGAUAUACCUUACCCAAAUGGACCCUCACCAAAUUUUUUUGGGAUCAUUCACUUUUAAAUUCUCCUCUUUGGGAAUUUUCGGACCAAAAGAGCUGAUCAUUCAUUAAAAUCCCUUCUGGAAAAACUUUUUACAACAACACCCUUCAUAAUACAAAAGGUUUGACAAGAUAGGGGGUGGAUCCCCCUUCUAUUCCAAUCCUUUUGUUGUAGCUAUUAUUCUCCCUGCCCCAGGGGUUGCUUUUACUCUCCUUGAAAUCCCUCAGCUGGAUGCUGCAAUUUGGAAGAGAUGUUAGCAAUGUCGAAAGCAGGCCUGAUUCUCUAUUGAGUGCUGUGAUUGCCUCCAAGCAAUUUUCUUCCUCUUCUUUCUGGCUAACAUAACCCCCCAUAGGUUGAUAUAAGAGCUUGAGCCAUCAUGAGUGGGCCAUUGAUCUCUGUUCGGGGAAAAAGAAAAGAAAAGAAAAGAAAAAGAAAAAGAA